Molecule: ribosomal RNA, 252 nt
Filed under: Triticum aestivum (bread wheat)
Lineage: Eukaryota; Viridiplantae; Streptophyta; Magnoliopsida; Poales; Poaceae
Description: partial small subunit ribosomal RNA
Source: RNAcentral
AUGUGUGUCCCCAAGGACAAAGCAGGAAUGGGAUACCAUGAUAUUCAUAGUUUCAAUUUAGCUAUGUUGGCAAAACAGUGUUGGAGGCUUAUUGAGAACCCUGGUUCUUUAUGCGCACGAGUUCUAAGAUCAAUGUAUUAUACCUCCGUUGAUAUUCAAAAUUGUGAACUUAAAAAGGGGUCAUAUUAUGUCUUGAAGGAAAUAUGCCCUAGAGGCAAUAAUAAAGUUAUUAUUUAUUUCCUCAUAUCAUGA